RNAcentral lists this ribosomal RNA (497 nucleotides) under uncultured bacterium. RNAcentral's name for it is "partial 16S ribosomal RNA". It matches the Rfam family "Bacterial small subunit ribosomal RNA", at positions 28 to 507 of the family's 1533-position model. The record is from RNAcentral.
GAUGAACGCUGGCGGCGUGCCUAAUACAUGCCAGUCGAGCGAACAGACGCGGAGCUUGCUCCUCUGACGUUAGCGGCGGACGGGAGAGUAACACGUGGAUCACCUACCUAUAAGACUGGGAUAACUUCGGGAAACCGGAGCUAAUACCAGAUAAUAUAUUGAACCGCAUGGUUUAAUAGUGCAAGCCGGUUUUGCUGUCACUUAUAGAUGGAUCGGUGCCGGAUUAGCUAGUUGGUGGGGUAAAGGCUUACCAAGGCGACGAUGCGUAGCUGGUCUGAGAGGACGGCCAGCCCAACUGGGACUGAGAACCGGUCCCAAAUCCUAAGGGAGGGAGCAGUGGGGAAAUUUGGCGCAUGGGGGCAAGCCUGAUCCAGGCAUCCCGCGUGGAGGAAGAAGGCCUUCGGGUUGUAAAAUCCUUUUGUUGGGAAAGAAACGAAUCUGGUAAAUACCAUGCGCUUCUGACGGUACCCUAAGAAGAAGCCCCGGCUAACCUCGUG